RNAcentral lists this unclassified non-coding RNA (400 nucleotides) under uncultured fungus. RNAcentral's name for it is "sequence contains ITS1". The stretch from base 1 to 105 matches the Rfam family "5.8S ribosomal RNA", at positions 50 to 154 of the family's 154-position model. Lineage: Eukaryota; Fungi. The record is from RNAcentral.
AAACUGCGAUAAGUAGCGUGAAUUGCAGACGCUUUGAACGUUAAACUUUCGAACGCACAUUGCGCCGUAGGAGUCCUACCCUACGGCACAUCUGGUUGAGGGUCGUGAUCAAAAACAGCCGCAUAGUAGCUGGAAUAGAACGAAUUGGUGAAUCACGAGUCCGGCCCACCCGUACUCGGGCCGUACGUGUUUUGCCAUUAUGCUCUAGAGGAUAGCGGGGUUCUUUUUCGGAGCCUGUGGCUACCUGCCACACAGACAGGCUAUCAGCUGAGGCGAUAGAUUACGUCCUUGGGGUAUCAUACUACGUUUUCGUAUAUGCUCUUCGGCGUCUGGAAUACAGCUGGUUGGUUUCGUACGUGCAUGGUGAAAGUAAAUCGCUUUCCCGACCUCAACUCAGGUG